CCCGCGCCGGCGCCCAAGCCUGACCCCGAUGGCGGCCGCGCCGACGAGUGGGCCCGCGAGCUGCGGCUCUUCGGCCGCGUCCUGGAGCGAGCCGCCUGCCUGCGGCGCUGCAAGCGGACGCUGCCCGCCUUCCAGGUGCCCUACCCGCCGCGGCAGCUGCUACGUGACUUCCAGAGCCGCCUGCCCUACCAGUACCUGCACUACGCGCUGUUCAAGGCUAACCGGCUGGAGAAGGCGGUGGCGGCGGCCUACACCUUCCUCCAGAGGAACCCGAAGCACGAGCUGACCUCCAAGUAUCUCAACUACUAUCGGGGGAUGCUGGACGUCGCCGACGAGUCCCUCACGGACCUAGAGGCCCAGCCCUACGAGGCCGUGUUCCUCCGGGCUGUGAAGCUCUACAACAGCGGGGAUUUCCGCAGCAGCACGGAGGACAUGGAGCGGGCCUUGGCAGAGUACCUGGCAGUCUUUGCCCGGUGCCUGGCCGGCUGUGAAGGGGCCCAUGAGCAGGUGGACUUCAAGGACUUCUACCCGGCCAUAGCAGGUAUCCGUCACCCAGACCCCGGUGGGCAGUCCUCUCACCCACAGGCCCAGUAAGGCAGAUGUUCCCUCCCUGCACGUGGAGCACUGCGAAUGUGGAGGAGCCAGCCGGGAGGAAGGCCUUGUCUGUUGAGAAUGACGCUGGGUGCAAGGGCCCCAGCUGGGAGUGUCCAAGAGGCUGGAUC
RNAcentral lists this small RNA (722 nucleotides) under Pongo abelii (Sumatran orangutan). RNAcentral's name for it is "retained intron". Lineage: Eukaryota; Metazoa; Chordata; Mammalia; Primates; Hominidae. The record is from RNAcentral.